AGGGACUUUUGGGGGCAGCUGUGUUCUUCCAUGCUACCAUAAUGCCCCUAAAAAUCCUUA
RNAcentral lists this microRNA precursor (60 nucleotides) under Python bivittatus (Burmese python). RNAcentral describes it as "Pbv-Mir-193-P2a_pre stem-loop". The record is from RNAcentral. Lineage: Eukaryota; Metazoa; Chordata; Lepidosauria; Squamata; Pythonidae.